UACGAAGGGUGCAAACGUUGCUCGGAAUCAUUGGGCGUAAAGCGCACGUAGGCGGCUUCGCAAGUCGGAUGUGAAAUCCCGUGGCUCAACCAUGGACGUGCAUCCGAAACUGCGAGGCUUGAGUAUGGAAGAGGGUCGCGGAAUUCCCGGUGUAGAGGUGAAAUUCGUAGAUAUCGGGAGGAACACCAGUGGCGAAGGCGGCGACCUGGGCCAAUACUGACGCUGAGGUGCGAAAGCGUGGGGAGCAAACGGG
This 253-nucleotide ribosomal RNA is filed under the name uncultured bacterium. RNAcentral describes it as "partial 16S ribosomal RNA". It matches the Rfam family "Bacterial small subunit ribosomal RNA", at positions 524 to 776 of the family's 1533-position model. The record is from RNAcentral.